UCAUAGACAAUUACGAAAACUUUACCAAGCAGGCCUCAGAGAAAGCUGCCCUCUCCAGUCUAAACCUGGUGUGUAGUCAAUACAGUGCAGUCUCUGAAGGGAGUUACAGCCAAGGACUCAGUCUCCCUGGCCAUAUUUUUCACAUGUUUGUAUUCCUAGCCCUGGUGGGCGCCUUCAUUUCAAGGUCCUCUUACCUGAGGCCUUAGGCAGUGCCUCUGGGAGUCCUCCUUAUGGGAGGGAAGAGGAGCAAACCUCAAAGACAUUUUUCUUUAAUCUGACUUAGUACUUUUCCACCCCUAACUCUCCCCCUCACUUUCCCUCUGACCACAGGGUUCAUAAAACUACCGGAGUCUUUUAUUUGGGACUCCUUCAAUAGUGAGAUGACCCCCACUUCUACACUGGUCCGCCUGACCCUUGACUCCUGUGCCGUUCUGUGGGAGGGAAAUGGAACAAGAUGCAUGGUACUGUGGAGGCCACUAAGAAGGGGAAUUGACUUACGUGGGAGAAUAUGGAUUAUACCAGACUUUCAACCAAAACAGUUGGCUAAAGAGUAUACAACACAGUUCUGUGCCCACAUAAUGACAUAGAACUUGUACAGAGAUAUGUGCUCACUUCCUUGUACUGCCAGUGAUCUAAAAUAGGGUCCCAGACAAAGGAAAGUAUUCCAUAGCCAAACCUACCAUUUGCCCGCUGGAUCAUGAUACCUCCUUUCUGGGAUACUUGGGGUGAGAACAUACAGUGUUUGGAGUCCUUAUCUUCAGAACUGAAUUGGACUAUUCUUUUGCAUUAUGGACUCUCUGAAGAAGAGAAGGAUACAGGCAACCUGGAGUUAGACUGAGAGGCCUCUUGAGAUCAGCCUGAACUUGGAGUUUUCAGAGCUCCAGUAGAGGGUAGUACCCUCUACUGGAAUGGUGAAGGAAAGACCACUGUGGAUAUGGCCAGCAGAAGAUAAGAUGUGCUGGCUUUCUAGGCCAUGGUGUCAGGAAGGUGGGGCUAGAGCAUUCAUGUAUUCAUUCUUUUAUUCAACAAAUAUGUAUUUAUUACCUGUGUAAUAAAUUUUAAUAAAUUUUAUUCAACAAAUAUGUAUUUAUUAUAUGUGUACACUGUACUACCCAACGCAAACACUGGGUUAUAGUA
This is a long non-coding RNA of Ailuropoda melanoleuca (giant panda), 1137 nucleotides long. RefSeq lists it as uncharacterized. The transcript is spliced from 4 exons. NCBI's taxonomy places the organism in Eukaryota, Metazoa, Chordata, Mammalia, Carnivora, Ursidae. The record is from RefSeq and is a predicted model, not a curated record.